AUCCAUUAGCCAAAGUAUCAAGGAAUGAUGGAAUAAGUCAGAGUCGGGAUCAACACUAAUUUUGGCAAAUCAGUUUGGCUUUUAAAACACUACCUAGAAUGUCAGCUAAAUCUUUAUUAUUGUCACCUAAGUACCCACUCAGGUCACUGUGCCUCCUGACCAGGAGGAAGGAUGGGGAAAAGAAGAAGUUUCUAGUGUGGAAUGGAGAAAAAGGCCCUGCUACAAACCGACCUUUAAAGUACAGUGCCUAAAGUUUCUGAUGACAAAACUACAACAACAAAAAGCAAAUAAAUGAACAUUUAAUAGACAGUCUGUGAAGGUUAUUAGCUAAGGGUCAAAAGAAAAAGAAGCAAAGAAUAUGGAAGAAGUAUUAGAUUUUCACUCCCUUUUUUCCAGCACAUCAUCAUUGGUUCUACAUUCCAAUCAUUAAUCUUUAUCCAAUUAUUUUUAA
This is a long non-coding RNA of Sarcophilus harrisii (Tasmanian devil), 451 nucleotides long. RefSeq lists it as uncharacterized. NCBI's taxonomy places the organism in Eukaryota, Metazoa, Chordata, Mammalia, Dasyuromorphia, Dasyuridae. The record is from RefSeq and is a predicted model, not a curated record. The transcript is spliced from 3 exons.